This 254-nucleotide ribosomal RNA is filed under the name uncultured bacterium. Its description in RNAcentral is "partial 16S ribosomal RNA". It matches the Rfam family "Bacterial small subunit ribosomal RNA", at positions 524 to 776 of the family's 1533-position model. The record is from RNAcentral.
UACGGGGGGAGCAAGCGUUGUUCGGAUUUACUGGGCGGAAAGGGCGCGUAGGCGGUCAGCACAAGUCAGUUGUGAAAUCUCCGGGCUUAACUCGGAAAGGUCAACUGAUACUGUGCGACUAGAGUGCAGAAGGGGCAACUGGAAUUCUCGGUGUAGCGGUGAAAUGCGUAGAUAUCGAGAGGAACACCUGCGGCGAAGGCGGGUUGCUGGGCUGACACUGACGCUGAUGCGCGAAAGCAUGGGGAGCGAACAGG